RNA transcript from Spinacia oleracea (spinach), 3188 nucleotides. RefSeq lists it as uncharacterized. The record is from RefSeq and is a predicted model, not a curated record. The transcript has 5 exons. NCBI's taxonomy places the organism in Eukaryota, Viridiplantae, Streptophyta, Magnoliopsida, Caryophyllales, Amaranthaceae.
AAGUAAUUUAUUCAAAAAAAAAAUGUGCAAAAUUUGAAAAACGAUAUUGCAAGAGCUACCGAGCAAGUGAACAAGUCAUCAAUGGCGCUCCAACCAGCAUUCAGAGAGAGGCUUGAAGACAUGGAGAACACCCGCAAUCAGCGAAAUUCUCUCCUUCAGGACGAGAAAGAAUUACAAAGGAGCAAAUCCCUAUUAUUAUCAGCUAAACAUGCCAAAAUCAGAUUAUUAGAGCAACGAUGCUUGGUCUUAGAUAAAAAAUUUGCUUCAGAUAACUUCAAAAUCUCAUCACUCAAGUCGGAAAUUGAAUUUUCGGAUCGUCAAUUUCAAACAUGCGCUCAACAAUUGAGGGAUUUAAAGGUUGAGGUUGAGGAGCUUGAGCAAUUGGAGGAGGAGAGAGAAAAAAUUUACGCUGUUAAAUGCUCUGAGAUGAAUGCGUUUAAGGAUGAAAUUCAGAAUUAUGCUGAAGAAAUUGGUCGCAAAGUCAGGGAAUUGCGAUGUGGCAGGGAGAAGCUCAAAUCCUGUUACUCGGGACAUCAAGAGAGAAACAGUGAGACACGAAACCAUGACAUUCAAGCUGCUAAGGCAAGAAAUUCAGAACUUUUAGCUUUGAAGCAAAACAUCGCAAGUAGCCUGGAGUCUAAUAAACGAGUGAGAGCAACUUUGCAAGUGCAGGUUCAGAGUCUAUGGUGAUACGGAAUGUGAGGCCUGUGUGCAUAGUGGAAAUGAAAGAGGUAACUGUUACCAUUAAAGAUACACCGUAGCAUACAACUAUUGAAUCUGUUUCAAUAUGAUUAUACAGUAUGAAUAAAGUUUCUCGUAUUAUGUUGCCUUAAUUUACUACUUUUGGAUAAUGAAUAUUCACAUUUUAUUUCCAUCAAGAAACUGAAUUUAUGAUUGAAACGAAAUGGACAUAAUAGAUUAAAGAACAUUAUUACAAUGUAUGAUAACAAAUAAACAACACUUACAAACAAGUCUCACCCCCUAUAAUAACAGCAACAACGACAACAAGACUUGAAAUUACUCGGGUGCGACUCUUGAACCAUUUCCUGUAUCCCCGUGACCCCCAGAUGAUGGAGGCUUUCCAGUGAAUAUAGUCUUCAAUGCCUUGCCUAACACCUUGUUUGGCUUACGCUUUGACGACUCUGGAACAUCGUCCUUCUUUACUGGCCUACUUCCUCCGUUAUCCAUUUUGUUUGAGUAAUGCAACAAAUAUGACUAAGAAGUAUUUCCUGCUCUCCAAGAUCAAUGACAAAUUAGUGUUUGUUAUUUAUAUCUUCUCCGAGAAACCAACAGGGCUAUUUGUAAUCUAUAUCUACUUGUAAUUCUCUUUGAUAUUUCUUUGUCAAUUCCAAGCUAUGUUUUCAAAAAUGUGGAAGUUGCAUUUCGCACAACUUUCUCAGUAAAUUCAAAUUAAGAAUAAAGAACUUAUUUUAAUUUUAAAAUAAAAGUUUAACUUAGAUUUCUUUUGCUUUUAAUUAUAAAGAUUUCAUUGGUUUGUCUACGGCCUAGAAUUUACUAUUACAUUUCCAUGGUUAUGAACAAGUUUAGUCUAUUCCUUCAUCCCCAAGUAAUUAACUAGUCUAGCGGUGGUCACAGUACUGGUGCAUUUCCUUGGAUGUUCAAUAAAAUUUCACAAGUAAUGCUUCUAGUUGUAGUCAGUUGACUCGAGGAUUUGUGUUGCCCUUCGCCCCUUUUAUGAUUUUUUUGAGGAUUUUCAGGUUGAGACUAACAAGACUCGGUAAAAACUUGUCGCCUUAAAAAUAAGUGAACAUCAUCAAUUUACAUCAGGAAAAUGAAUAUUAUUAACUUUUCACAAAACUAAGGAACAACAGUCUGGAAUUUGCUAAACUGCAGGCAUCUAGUAAAAUAUUAACACUUGUAUCUGCUUCAACAUGGAGCUGCACUUGAUGAAAUCUUCUGCCAUUUCUUUCCCUCAACUCAACAUGGAGCUGCACUCUACUACACUAAACGCGAUUCUAUACGAUGGAUGAUGCAUAGCAUUAGUUUAAACCGAUUUUGCAAAGUCAGAAUUUCAGUGGUCUAUGACUUCUUCUAAUGCCCAAUUGCCCAUCCAUUCCAUUAAAACAUACUUUUACUGAUUAAAAUCUAGGUGUUACAAAAUGAAACUGAUUUUUAUUUCAUGAAAAUUGAGUUUGGGUUCAAUAAUUACUUAAUUAUAUACUCCAUAUUUACUUUCAUAUCCAUAUGAGAUAUGAUUAUCUUGGUAGUUUUAAUUUACUUUUGAUGGAUGAGAUCCUGGGUUUCAUAUGUCUUUAUAAUUCUUCCAUAAUUAAACUAGAAGACUAUUUUUUGCAGGUAGUUGUGAUACUUAACAAAAAACCCCCAUAUUAUGUGGAAAAAUUGACUUAUAUGCUACUAAACUAUUGAAUUAACAUAAAUAAUUAGAUGCCUAUGAUUUGCGCUUUGUUUGUCCAUAAUUUUUCAUGAAUAAAUACUGCCCCAACAUAAUCAACCUAUAUGCAUACUCAGUUAUUUAUUUAUUUAUUUAUUUAUUUAUUUUUGCCUCAGAGUUGGUAUCAUAAUUGAUUUACAGACCAAAAUCAGAGUAGGAAGACAAAACUUCAUAUAGAUUUUAGACAGUAAAAAAACAGAGUGUAACUGUAUUAGAUUCAAACAAAAUAAACAGAAAACAUUGUUAUAGCAACAAACUGGCCACAAAUAAACACAUCUCACCCUUUAUGUCGUUACAAACUACAAGUAUCUUAAUGUGUCAAACAAACUCAUAUUGUUAUACUAGUACAUGAAAUUACUCAGGUGCAACUCUUGCACCAUUUGAAGAACCCCCCUGACUUCCUGCUGAUGGAGAUGUUCCGGUGAAUAUAGUCUUCAAUGCCUUACCCAACACCUUAUUUGGCGUACGCUUUGACGAAUCUGGAAUUUAACAAGUAUAUGCUUCAAGCCUUUGAGGAGUUGCAAUUCAAACAAGUUUCUUGAGAAUUUCAUACUAGUUGCUGACAUUGUUUGUAUCAACAUAUAAUCAAGAAAAUAAACCGAAAAGUAGACGUUUUGUUAAGUGAAUUACUGUGAUUUUGCAUUGAUUUGUUUACAAGAUUGGAGGGUGAAUUUCCUUGGUAUUCUAUAGAAUUUGUUUAUCCUUCCUCCCCAAGUAAAUUGAUGGUGGCAAUUGUUGGUGCAUUUCCAUGGGAAUUUUAUACAAUUUUCUGUCC